AGCAGAAGUAAAAGAAAGCGUCGUCUCGGAAAGGAAAUAGAGUACGAUAAUGUCGUUCCAAUUGUCAUUAUGGAAGGUGAAGAAGAAGAAACUGAACCAACAAAGAAGAAGAAAAAGCGCGGAAGGCCAUCCCUCCCAGAUCACAAAAAAAAAAUCAUUAUCCUGUCAUGAGGAUUUAUCUAGACAGAGUUUUCGACGCAGUACCAGAAGGCAAUGCUCAAAAGGAACGGAUUAGGGAGGCUGGAUUUUCCACAUUUCUAGACUUGAAGUUUACCGAACUUGACCGGUUUUUUCUGUCGUGGUUAAUUGGUCAGUGGGAUCCUGAAACCCAGUAACUACGCAUUAGGGAUGAUUAUGAGAUCAAUAUUAAGUGGUGGGGUGGAUAUAUGGGCUACAAUUCAGUGAUUAUACAUUCACUAUUGAAGACAGUGUUACAGGUAAUAGGAUAAGAUUUUACAGCUUUGGAAACAAAUUAUGAUAAUGUAAACACUUUUUAUAACCUCCCAUUGUAUAGAUCGUAUAAAGCGAAAUUUGAAUAUUUUUCCCUAUGGUGCGUACUAAAUGCAAAGGACAAAGAGUACAAGAAGCUGAAGACUUCCUAUUCCAACAGAGGGGGGAUAGGUUAUGGCAUGGUUCGGCAAGAUAUAAAAGAUAAUCUGGACAACAAAGAUAGGUUCUUGAAGUCAUAUAUUUUCCAUGUAUUUGGAAAUCUAAUAUGUUCAACUCUGAACAAUUGGAUUAGUCCACUUUUAUGCUGGAUUUUGAAAUCGCGGUACCUGAAAGAUGCACGGAAUUGGAAUUUUUCAAAGUUUGUGCUUGAUUGGAUGAUCAAGCAGCACAGAGAAAUGGAUGCAGAGAAGGGUGGUGUCAAGGGAUGCAGAUAAAUGGAUGCUCAUAUAAUAAUAUUGUCCUAUACAGAUUGCAUACCUUGACUGAUUGAAAUUAGGCGAUAAAGGGCAUAGGUGGCAUACCGAUAGACCAAGGCUUGGAUUGUGGCAGCAGGAUGAUAUUGAAUGAGCGAUUCAUGCAGACACUGUUAGUGAUGGGUCGUAUGGUGCAACGGAGGUUGUUAGGGAUGUUGUGUAUGGGAAAGAAUACCCUAUUGGUACGCGGAAGGACCUUCCUAUGUGGAUGAGGAGUCCGCCUCCUGUGAAUCCUAAAGUAACCGUCGUGGAAAGGAAAAGAAAAAGACGGGAAUGCAAAGCAAAGGUCAGGGACUUGAAAGACUACAAAGACAUUCAACACUUGAGUUCUUCCGAAGAAGAAGAGACAAGCAAAGGAGAUGAGGAAGAAGCCACUUUGAGUCGUACUCAGAAGAGUAACAGAAACAAGACAAAGAAUGAGGAACUUCAUGUAGUUCCACCUGCUUUAAUCCUAGGAAGGGUUACAAGAGCAAGAAGCAGAUUGAUACAAAGGACAAAUCCUGUUAAAGGGGAUAAAAAUGUAAAUCAGUUAAAUAUAAAGUUUAUGGCAAUGUGUUUGAUACAGUUUAGCAUUUAUUGCCUAUAAGCAUAUAAUUAUUAGGAUCGUGUUAUAUAUUACAGUAGCUUAUUAUUCAUAAAAGCAUGAUAUUGAAUUCUCACAUGUACAACAAAAAAAUGGAAACAAGGACCACUGGGAAAGGUGGCAGAACAACAACCAAGGGUGUUAUCUCAAAAAAGAAAAGUGCAAAAGCUAAAAAAGAUUCAAGUGAGGAUGAAUUAAGCACUAAGAUCAGCAGUGAAGAUGACAAGGCUAAUGACGAUGAUGAGGAGAAGGAUAGGAAUAAGGAGGGUGAUGAUGAUGAUGAUGAUGAUGAUGAUGAUAGUUAAGAAAAUGAAAGUGAUGAAGGGAGUAAAGGAGAUGAUGACGAGGCUGAUAAGUAGGUGACAAACCCCAAAUCUGGGAAAGGAGAUGAGGGUGGGCCUGACAAUGGUAAGAAUGGUAAUGGGGGAAAUGAUGGUGAGGCAGAUAAAAUGGAGGAAGAUGAUGGUGGGGAAGGCCUAAUGGUGGGAGAUGAUGACAAAAAUGAAAAGAAUGCACAUCCGGAUGUGGAAACCGACAUCGAUUACCUGAGCGACCGUGAUGACAAUGAGUGCUUGCCCCAGAUUUUUGAUCACCAAGGACAUAGAAUCACGACGAUAUGUGACAAAAAGUCUAACUAUAGUAGGGUGAGUAACAACUAUUGUCGUUAUGUGUAUCUGUGUACCUUCCUUUGUUAGAGUAGAUAAUGAUAAGUGUUUUAAUCAAACAGGUUUAAAGAGCAGAUUUUGUUCAAAUGGUAUGAUGUAACAGUUAACCGUGAAUUAGUACACAAAGCAUGUAAGAAGAAGUCUCCCAUUUCAGUACAGGCAAUGAUUAAAUUAUAAAA
This is a long non-coding RNA of Chenopodium quinoa (quinoa), 2350 nucleotides long. RefSeq lists it as uncharacterized. Lineage: Eukaryota; Viridiplantae; Streptophyta; Magnoliopsida; Caryophyllales; Amaranthaceae. The record is from RefSeq and is a predicted model, not a curated record. The transcript is spliced from 5 exons.